RNAcentral lists this ribosomal RNA (171 nucleotides) under uncultured bacterium. Its description in RNAcentral is "partial 16S ribosomal RNA". It matches the Rfam family "Bacterial small subunit ribosomal RNA", at positions 337 to 525 of the family's 1533-position model. The record is from RNAcentral.
UCCUACGGGAGGCAGCAGUGGGGAAUAUUGCACAAUGGGGGAAACCCUGAUGCAGCAACGCCGCGUGAGUGAUGACGGUCUUCGGAUUGUAAAGCUCUGUCUUUAGGGACGAUAAUGACGGUACCUAAGGAGGAAGCCACGGCUAACUACGUGCCAGCAGCCGCGGUAAUA